This 567-nucleotide long non-coding RNA is filed under the name Equus asinus (donkey). RNAcentral's name for it is "lncRNA (ENSEASG00005033035.1)". The record is from RNAcentral. Lineage: Eukaryota; Metazoa; Chordata; Mammalia; Perissodactyla; Equidae.
UAGUCCACCAUCUUCCAAUUUGCUAGCUCAUCACUUAAUAAAAUGCCCUUUCUUUGCCACCAUCUUGCCUCCUGAUGGAUUGGCUUUUGUCUUUUGGUGAGCAGAUCAUGCCCUUUGCGUAGUAACAGAAAUUGGCAAUGACGAUGGGAUCUAUAAGUCUGCCUGCAGCCAGCCAACUUCGGGGGAAAUUCUUGGGAAAGUCCCUAGCAGCUGCUGAGGCUCUCUUUGCCUUGGGGGUGGGUCCUGUUGGUUUCCCUCCACUGCCAGCUGUCUCCAAUGCUUCCUAUAGUGGAAAGAGAAAUGGCUACUUCUAGAAGGUCAACAGGCUCAUGGCUGGAGUAGGAUGUAUUUCAUCUUCAGAGAGAUUCAAGGAGAGGACUCCAACACUUACUCUAGAAGACAGAUUUCUGAUAAACUUUCAGAUCAUAAAAGUGAACUGGAUGAGGAAACUGAAGCUCCCGGGCCGAAGACCAACUCUGUGAAUUACAAGAAGUUUGGGAACUGCCUUGUCUUCGACUUAUGUGAGAUGCUCAAAAAAGAUAGAAUGGCAGCUCUUACCUGUUAAAA